GGCUCAGGACGAACGCUGGCGGCGUGCCUAACACAUGCAAGUCGAGCGGGGACAUGCGACGGAUAGGAAGAUUCGGUUGGACUUGAAGAUGCAUCGUUCUAGCGGCGGACGGGUGAGUAACGCGUGAGCAACCUGUCCCUUACAGGGGGAUAACACAGCGAAAGUUGUACUAAUACCGCAUAAGACCACGGGAGGACAUCCUUCAGGGGUCAAAGGAGGAAUCCGGUAAGGGGUGGGCUCGCGUCCGAUUAGAUAGUUGGUGAGGUAACGGCCCACCAAGUCGACGAUCGGUAGCCGACCUGAGAGGGUGAUCGGCCACAUUGGGACUGAGACACGGCCCAAACUCCUACGGGAGGCAGCAGUGGGGAAUAUUGGGCAAUGGGGGGAAACCCUGACCCAGCAACGCCGCGUGAGGGAAGAAGGUUUUCGGAUCGUAAACCUCUGUCCUUGGUGAAGAGGAAGAGACGGUAGCCAAGGAGGAAGCCCCGGCUAACUACGUGCCAGCCGCCGC
This 511-nucleotide ribosomal RNA is filed under the name uncultured bacterium. RNAcentral's name for it is "bacterial SSU rRNA". It matches the Rfam family "Bacterial small subunit ribosomal RNA", at positions 21 to 518 of the family's 1533-position model. The record is from RNAcentral.